This 400-nucleotide unclassified non-coding RNA is filed under the name soil metagenome. RNAcentral describes it as "partial contains 5.8S ribosomal RNA, internal transcribed spacer 2, and large subunit ribosomal RNA". The stretch from base 1 to 122 matches the Rfam family "5.8S ribosomal RNA", at positions 35 to 154 of the family's 154-position model. The record is from RNAcentral.
GAUGAAGAAUGUAGCGAAAUGCGAUACUUGGUGUGAAUUGCAGAAUCCCGUGAACCAUCGAGUCUUUGAACGCAAGUUGCGCCUCAAGCCAUUAGGUUGAGGGCACGUCUGCCUGGGCGUCACAUAUCGUUGCCUGAUGCCAGUUUCCUCGUGAUGGGUGACUGUGCAGGGCGAAUGAUGGCUUCCCGUGAGCAUUGUUGCCUCAUGGUUGGUUGAAAAUUGAGUCCUUGGUAGGGAGCGCCGUGAUAGAUGGUGGUUGAGUGACGAACGAGACCCAAUCAUGUGAGACCCCUACCGAAUUUGGCCUUCAUGACCCACAUGCGUCUUUGGAACGCUCAUGACGAGACCUCAGGUCAGGCGGGGCUACCCGCUGAGUUUAAGCAUAUCAAUAAGCGGAGGA